Molecule: ribosomal RNA, 477 nt
Filed under: Anaplasma bovis
Lineage: Bacteria; Pseudomonadati; Pseudomonadota; Alphaproteobacteria; Rickettsiales; Anaplasmataceae
Description: bacterial SSU rRNA
Rfam family: Bacterial small subunit ribosomal RNA
Source: RNAcentral
CGGGUGAGUAAUGCAUAGGAAUCUACCUAGUAGUAUAGGAUAGCCACCAGAAGUGGUGGGUAAUACUGUAUAAUCCCUGCGGGGGAAAGAUUUAUCGCUACAUGAUGAGCCUAUGUUAGAUUAGCUAGUUGGUGGGGUAAUGGCCUACCAAGGCAGUGAUCUAUAGCUGGUCUGAGAGGAUGAUCAGCCACACUGGAACUGAGACACGGUCCAGACUCCUACGGGAGGCAGCAGUGGGGAAUAUUGGACAAUGGGCGCAAGCCUGAUCCAGCUAUGCCGCGUGAGUGAGGAAGGCCUUAGGGUUGUAAAACUUUUUCAGUGGGGAAGAUAAUGACGGUACCCACAGAAGAAGUCCCGGCAAACUCCGUGCCAGCAGCCGCAGUAAUACGGAGGGGGCAAGCGUUGUUCGGAAUUAUUGGGCGUAAAGGGCAUGUAGGUGGUUUGGUUAGUUAAAGGUGAAAUGCCAGGGCUUAACCC